AAGGAUCAUUACAGAGUUCAUGCCCUUCGGGGUAGAUCUCCCACCCUUGUGUAUCAUUAUAGAAUGUUGCUUUGGCGGGCCGCGUGCCCAGCACGCCUCGAUUCGCGUCGAGCGUAUCCGCCAGAGGACCCCUAAACUCUGAAUGUUAGUGUCGUCCGAGUACUAUUAAAUAGUUAAAACUUUCAACAACGGAUCUCUUGGUUCUGGCAUCGAUGAAGAACGCAGCGAAAUGCGAUAAGUAAUGUGAAUUGCAGAAUUCAGUGAAUCAUCGAAUCUUUGAACGCACAUUGCGCCCCUUGGUAUUCCGGGGGGCAUGCCUGUUCGAGCGUCAUUUAUACCAAUCUAGCCUGGCUAGGUGUUGGGCCUCGCCGUUUGGCGGGCCUUAAAACCAGUGGCGGUGCUCUUAGGCUCUACGCGUAGUAAUUUUCUCGCUAUAGGGUCCUGGGAGANGCUUGCCAGCAACCCCAAAUUUUUCUAGGUUGACCUCGGAUCAGGUAGGGAUACCCGCUGAACUUAA
Molecule: ribosomal RNA, 517 nt
Filed under: Epacris pulchella root associated fungus EP23
Lineage: Eukaryota; Fungi
Description: eukaryotic LSU rRNA
Rfam family: 5.8S ribosomal RNA (bases 178-331)
Source: RNAcentral